GACGAACGCUUGCGGCGUGCUUAACACAUGCAAGUCGAACGGAAAGGCCCUGCUUUUGUGGGGUGCUCGAGUGGCGAACGGGUGAGUAACACGUGAGUAACCUGCCCUUGACUUUGGGAUAACUUCAGGAAACUGGGGCUAAUACCGGAUAGGAGCUCCUGCUGCAUGGUGGGGGUUGGAAAGUUUCGGCGGUUGGGGAUGGACUCGCGGCUUAUCAGCUUGUUGGUGGGGUAGUGGCUUACCAAGGCUUUGACGGGUAGCCGGCCGGAGAGGGUGACCGGCCACAUUGGGACUGAGAUACGGCCCAGACUCCUACGGGGGGCAGCAGUGGGGAAUAUUGCACAAUGGGCGGAAGCCUGAUGCAGCAACGCCGCGUGCGGGAUGACGGCCUUCGGGUUGUAAACCGCUUUCGCCUGUGACGAAGCGUGAGUGACGGUAAUGGGUAAAGAAGCACCGGCUAACUACGUGCCAGCAGCCGCGGUGAUACGUAGGGUGCGAGCGUUGUCCGGAUUUAUUGGGCGUAAAGGGCUCGUAGGUGGUUGAUCGCGUCGGAAGUGUAAUCUUGGGGCUUAACCCUGAGCGUGCUUUCGAUACGGGUUGACUUGAGGAAGGUAGGGGAGAAUGGAAUUCCUGGUGGAGCGGUGGAAUGCGCAGAUAUCAGGAGGAACACCAGUGGCGAAGGCGGUUCUCUGGGCCUUUCCUGACGCUGAGGAGCGAAAGCGUGGGGAGCGAACAGGCUUAGAUACCCUGGUAGUCCACGCUGUAAACGGUGGGUACUAGGUGUGGGGUCCAUUCCACGGGUUCCGUGCCGUAGCUAACGCUUUAAGUACCCCGCCUGGGGAGUACGGCCGCAAGGCUAAAACUCAAAGGAAUUGAUGGGGCCCCGCACAAGCGGCGGAGCAUGCGGAUUAAUUCGAUGCAACGCGUAGAACCUUACCUGGGUUUGACAUGGAUCGGGAGUGCUCAGAGAUGGGUGUGCCUCUUUUGGGGUCGGUUCACAGGUGGUGCAUGGCUGUCGUCAGCUCGUGUCGUGAGAUGUUGGGUUAAGUCCCGCAACGAGCGCAACCCUUGUUCACUGUUGCCAGCACGUUAUGGUGGGGACUCAGUGGAGACCGCCGGGGUCAACUCGGAGGAAGGUGGGGAUGACGUCAAGUCAUCAUGCCCCUUAUGUCCAGGGCUUCACGCAUGCUACAAUGGCUGGUACAGAGAGUGGCGAGCCUGUGAGGGUGAGCGAAUCUCGGAAAGCCGGUCUCAGUUCGGAUUGGGGUCUGCAACUCGACCUCAUGAAGUCGGAGUCGCUAGUAAUCGCAGAUCAGCAACGCUGCGGUGAAUACGUUCCCGGGGCU
This 1346-nucleotide ribosomal RNA is filed under the name uncultured bacterium. RNAcentral's name for it is "partial 16S ribosomal RNA". It matches the Rfam family "Bacterial small subunit ribosomal RNA", at positions 28 to 1381 of the family's 1533-position model. The record is from RNAcentral.